AGUUUGUAACACCCGAAGUCGGUGAGGUAACCGUAAGGAGCCAGCCGCCUAAGGUGGGAUAGAUGAUUGGGGUGAAGUCGUAACAAGGUAGCCGUAUCGGAAGGUGCGGCUGGAUCACCUCCUUUCUA
Molecule: ribosomal RNA, 128 nt
Filed under: Streptococcus sanguinis
Lineage: Bacteria; Bacillati; Bacillota; Bacilli; Lactobacillales; Streptococcaceae
Description: partial 16S ribosomal RNA
Rfam family: Bacterial small subunit ribosomal RNA
Source: RNAcentral